RNAcentral lists this ribosomal RNA (1474 nucleotides) under uncultured bacterium. RNAcentral describes it as "16S ribosomal RNA". It matches the Rfam family "Bacterial small subunit ribosomal RNA". The record is from RNAcentral.
AGAGUUUGAUCCUGGCUCAGAACGAACGCUGGCGGCGUGGAUAAGACAUGCAAGUCGAACGAGAGAAUUGCUAGCUUGCUAAUAAUUCUCUAGUGGCGCACGGGUGAGUAACACGUGAGUAACCUGCCCCCGAGAGCGGGAUAGCCCUGGGAAACUGGGAUUAAUACCGCAUAGUAUCGAAAGAUUAAAGCAGCAAUGCGCUUGGGGAUGGGCUCGCGGCCUAUUAGUUAGUUGGUGAGGUAACGGCUCACCAAGGCGAUGACGGGUAGCCGGUCUGAGAGGAUGUCCGGCCACACUGGAACUGAGACACGGUCCAGACACCUACGGGUGGCAGCAGUCGAGAAUCAUUCACAAUGGGGGAAACCCUGAUGGUGCGACGCCGCGUGGGGGAAUGAAGGUCUUCGGAUUGUAAACCCCUGUCAUGUGGGAGCAAAUUAAAAAGAUAGUACCACAAGAGGAAGAGACGGCUAACUCUGUGCCAGCAGCCGCGGUAAUACAGAGGUCUCAAGCGUUGUUCGGAAUCACUGGGCGUAAAGCGUGCGUAGGCUGUUUCGUAAGUCGUGUGUGAAAGGCGCGGGCUCAACCCGCGGACGGCACAUGAUACUGCGAGACUAGAGUAAUGGAGGGGGAACCGGAAUUCUCGGUGUAGCAGUGAAAUGCGUAGAUAUCGAGAGGAACACUCGUGGCGAAGGCGGGUUCCUGGACAUUAACUGACGCUGAGGCACGAAGGCCAGGGGAGCGAAAGGGAUUAGAUACCCCUGUAGUCCUGGCAGUAAACGGUGCACGCUUGGUGUGCGGGGAAUCGACCCCCUGCGUGCCGGAGCUAACGCGUUAAGCGUGCCGCCUGGGGAGUACGGUCGCAAGAUUAAAACUCAAAGAAAUUGACGGGGACCCGCACAAGCGAUGGAGUAUGUGGCUUAAUUCGAUGCAACGCGAAGAACCUUACCUGGGCUUGACAUGUAAUGAACAACAUGUGAAAGCAUGCGACUCUUCGGAGGCGUUACACAGGUGCUGCAUGGCCGUCGUCAGCUCGUGUCGUGAGAUGUUUGGUUAAGUCCAGCAACGAGCGCAACCCCUGUUGCCAGUUACCAGCACGUGAAGGUGGGGACUCUGGCGAGACUGCCCAGAUCAACUGGGAGGAAGGUGGGGACGACGUCAGGUCAGUAUGGCCCUUAUGCCCAGGGCUGCACACGUACUACAAUGCCCAGUACAGAGGGGGCCGAAGCCGCGAGGCGGAGGAAAUCCUAAAAACUGGGCCCAGUUCGGACUGUAGGCUGCAACCCGCCUACACGAAGCCGGAAUCGCUAGUAAUGGCGCAUCAGCUACGGCGCCGUGAAUACGUUCCCGGGUCUUGUACACACCGCCCGUCACAUCAUGGAAGCCGGUCGCACCCGAAGUAUCUGAAGCCAACCGCAAGGAGGCAGGGUCCUAAGGUGAGACUGGUAACUGGGAUGAAGUCGUAACAAGGUAGCCG